GUGCUCACUUCGGCAGCACAUAUACUAAA
Molecule: small nuclear RNA, 29 nt
Filed under: Cervus elaphus hippelaphus
Lineage: Eukaryota; Metazoa; Chordata; Mammalia; Artiodactyla; Cervidae
Source: RNAcentral